This 1345-nucleotide ribosomal RNA is filed under the name uncultured bacterium. RNAcentral describes it as "bacterial SSU rRNA". It matches the Rfam family "Bacterial small subunit ribosomal RNA", at positions 28 to 1381 of the family's 1533-position model. The record is from RNAcentral.
GAUGAACGCUAGCGGGAGGCCUAACACAUGCAAGCCGAGCGGUAUUGUUUCUUCGGAAAUGAGAGAGCGGCGUACGGGUGCGGAACACGUGUGCAACCUGCCUUUAUCUGGGGGAUAGCCUUUCGAAAGGAAGAUUAAUACUCCAUAACAUAUUGAUUGGCAUCAAUUAAUAUUGAAAGCUCCGGCGGAUAGAGAUGGGCACGCGCAAGAUUAGCUAGUUGGUGAGGUAACGGCUCACCAAGGCGAUGAUCUUUAGGGGGCCUGAGAGGGUGAUCCCCCACACUGGUACUGAGACACGGACCAGACUCCUACGGGAGGCAGCAGUGAGGAAUAUUGGUCAAUGGGUGCAAGCCUGAACCAGCCAUCCCGCGUGAAGGACGACUGCCCUAUGGGUUGUAAACUUCUUUUGUAUAGGGAUAAACCUACCCUCGUGAGGGUAGCUGAAGGUACUAUACGAAUAAGCACCGGCUAACUCCGUGCCAGCAGCCGCGGUAAUACGGAGGGUGCAAGCGUUAUCCGGAUUUAUUGGGUUUAAAGGGUCCGUAGGCGGACUUAUAAGUCAGUGGUGAAAGCCUGUCGCUUAACGAUAGAACUGCCAUUGAUACUGUAAGUCUUGAGUAUAUUUGAGGUAGCUGGAAUAAGUAGUGUAGCGGUGAAAUGCAUAGAUAUUACUUAGAACACCAAUUGCGAAGGCAGGUUACCAAGAUAUAACCGACGCUGAGGGACGAAAGCGUGGGGAGCGAACAGGAUUAGAUACCCUGGUAGUCCACGCCGUAAACGAUGCUAACUCGUUUUUGGGCUUUAGGGUUCAGAGACCAAGCGAAAGUGAUAAGUUAGCCACCUGGGGAGUACGCUCGCAAGAGUGAAACUCAAGGGAAUUGACGGGGGCCCGCACAAGCGGUGGAUUAUGUGGUUUAAUUCGAUGAUACGCGAGGAACCUUACCAAGACUUAAAUGGGAAUUGACAGCUUUAGAAAUAGAGCUUUCUUCGGACAAUUUUCAAGGUGCUGCAUGGUUGUCGUCAGCUCGUGCCGUGAGGUGUUAGGUUAAGUCCUGCAACGAGCGCAACCCCUGUCACUAGUUGCCAUCAUUCAGUUGGGGACUCUAGUGAGACUGCCUACGCAAGUAGAGAGGAAGGUGGGGAUGACGUCAAAUCAUCACGGCCCUUACGUCUUGGGCCACACACGUAAUACAAUGGCCGGUACAGAGGGCAGCUACACAGCGAUGUGAUGCAAAUCUCGAAAGCCGGUCUCAGUUCGGAUUGGAGUCUGCAACUCGACUCUAUGAAGCUGGAAUCGCUAGUAAUCGCGCAUCAGCCAUGGCGCGGUGAAUACGUUCCCGGGCCU